UACGGGGGGGGCAAGCGUUGUUCGGAAUUACUGGGCGUAAAGGGCUCGUAGGUGGCCAACUAAGUCAGACGUGAAAUCCCUCGGCUUAACCGGGGAACUGCGUCUGAUACUGGAUGGCUUGAGUUUGGGAGAGGGACGCGGAAUUCCAGGUGUAGCGGUGAAAUGCUUAGAUAUGACAUAGAACACCCAUUGCGAAGGCAGCUAACUACACGAUCAUUGACACUGAGGCACGAAAGCGUGGGGAGCAAACAGG
This 253-nucleotide ribosomal RNA is filed under the name uncultured bacterium. RNAcentral's name for it is "partial 16S ribosomal RNA". It matches the Rfam family "Bacterial small subunit ribosomal RNA", at positions 524 to 776 of the family's 1533-position model. The record is from RNAcentral.